UAGGGAAUAUUGGUUAAUGUGCGAAAGCGCGAACCAGCAACGCCGCGUGUGCGAUGAAGGCCUUCGGGUCGUAAAGCACUUUUUGCAGGGACGAGGAAGGACGGUACCUGCAGAAUAAGUCUCGGCUAACUACGUGCCAGCAGCCGCGGUAAAACGUAGGAGACGAGCGUUAUCCGGAUUUACUGGGCGUAAAGCGCGUGCAGGCGGCAUGGCAAGUUGGAUGUGAAAGCUCCCGGCUUAACUGGGAGAGGUCGUUCAAUACUGCCAGGCUUGAGAGUGGUAGAGGCAAGCGGAAUUCCGGGUGUAGUGGUGAAAUGCGUAGAUAUCCGGAGGAACACCAGUGGCGAAAGCGGCUUCCUGGCCCAUUUCUGACGCUCAGACGCGAAAGCUAGGGUAGC
This 398-nucleotide ribosomal RNA is filed under the name uncultured bacterium. RNAcentral describes it as "bacterial SSU rRNA". It matches the Rfam family "Bacterial small subunit ribosomal RNA", at positions 355 to 769 of the family's 1533-position model. The record is from RNAcentral.